Molecule: ribosomal RNA, 511 nt
Filed under: uncultured Glomus
Lineage: Eukaryota; Fungi; Glomeromycota; Glomeromycetes; Glomerales; Glomeraceae
Description: SSU rRNA
Rfam family: Eukaryotic small subunit ribosomal RNA
Source: RNAcentral
AGCAGCCGCGGUAAUUCCAGCUCCAAUAGCGUAUAUUAAAGUUGUUGCAGUUAAAAAGCUCGUAGUUGAAUUUCGGGAUCAUCAGGUUGGUCGUGCCUCUGGUAUGUACUUGCUUCGGUGGUCCCUCCUUCUUGAAGAACCGUAAUGCCAUUAAUUUGGUGUUGCGGGGAAACAGGACUGUUACUUUGAAAAAAUUAGAGUGUUUAAAGCAGGCAAUCGCUUGAAUACAUUAGCAUGGAAUAAUGAAAUAGGACGUUCGAUCCUAUUUUGUUGGUUUCUAGGAUUGACGUAAUGAUUAAUAGGGAUAGUUGGGGGCAUUAGUAUUCAAUUGUCAGAGGUGAAAUUCUUGGAUUUAUUGAAGACUAACUACUGCGAAAGCAUUUGCCAAGGAUGUUUUCAUUAAUCAAGAACGAAAGUUAGGGGAUCGAAGACGAUCAGAUACCGUCGUAGUCUUAACCAUAAACUAUGCCGACUAGGGAUCGGAUGAUGUUAAUUUUUAAUGACUCAUUCG